RNAcentral lists this long non-coding RNA (229 nucleotides) under Elaeis guineensis (African oil palm). RNAcentral's name for it is "long non-coding RNA (EGUI_LNC015405)". The record is from RNAcentral. Lineage: Eukaryota; Viridiplantae; Streptophyta; Magnoliopsida; Arecales; Arecaceae.
GGGGUUUUCUAGACCUAAAAGCUCAUCACUAUGAAUCAAUCGAAGCACAAGUAGACCAACACUCGAAUCCUUGGGUUGGCCAGGUAAGAGGUAAAAUUUGUGGGAGGUUCCCCUCGCUCUCACGAGGUCCUAAUUAAGUAACCAUAAUUCACUUAGGUAUUUGCCAUGUACCUCUAGCCUUAGACACCAGCUUAUGGAGUCAACUGUAGAUCGAACUCGCACUAAGACU